This 118-nucleotide ribosomal RNA is filed under the name Pteropus alecto (black flying fox). Lineage: Eukaryota; Metazoa; Chordata; Mammalia; Chiroptera; Pteropodidae. The record is from RNAcentral.
AUCUACGGCCAUGCUACCCUGAACAAGCCCAAUCCUGUCUGAUCUUGGAAGCUAAGCAGGGUCGGGCCUGGUUAGUACUUGAAUGGAGACCACCUAGGAAGACCAGGUGCUGUAGGUG